AUUGAACGCUGGCGGCAGGCCUAACACAUGCAAGUCGAGCGGAUGAAGGGAGCUUGCUCCUGGAUUCAGCGGCGGACGGGUGAGUAAUGCCUAGGAAUCUGCCUGGUAGUGGGGGAUAACGUCCGGAAACGGGCGCUAAUACCGCAUACGUCCUGAGGGAGAAAGUGGGGGAUCUUCGGACCUCACGCUAUUAGAUGAGCCUAGGUCGGAUUAGCUAGUUGGUGGGGUAAAGGCCUACCAAGGCGACGAUCCGUAACUGGUCUGAGAGGAUGAUCAGUCACACUGGAACUGAGACACGGUCCAGACUCCUACGGGAGGCAGCAGUGGAGAAUAUUGGACAAUGGGCGAAAGCCUGAUACAGCCAUGCCGCGUGUGAAGAAGGUCUUCGGAUUGUAAAGCACUUUAAGUUGGGAGGAAGGGCAGUAAGUUAAUACCUUGCUGUUUUGACGUUACCAACAGAAUAAGCACCGGCUAACUUCGUG
Molecule: ribosomal RNA, 482 nt
Filed under: uncultured bacterium
Lineage: Bacteria
Description: partial 16S ribosomal RNA
Rfam family: Bacterial small subunit ribosomal RNA
Source: RNAcentral